RNAcentral lists this ribosomal RNA (265 nucleotides) under uncultured archaeon. RNAcentral describes it as "partial 16S ribosomal RNA". It matches the Rfam family "Archaeal small subunit ribosomal RNA", at positions 717 to 982 of the family's 1478-position model. The record is from RNAcentral.
ACACGACUACAUUAGAUACCCGGGUAGUCCCAGCCCUAAACGAUGCGCGUUGGGUGUAUCGGUGACCACGAGUCACCGAGGUGCCGAAGGGAAACCGUGAAACGUGCCGCCUGGGAAGUACGGUCGCAAGGCUGAAACUUAAAGGAAUUGGCGGGGGAGCACCACCACGGGUGGAGCCUGCGGUUUAAUUGGACUCAACGCCGGGAAGCUCACCGGAUAAGACAGCGGAAUGAUUGCCGGGCUGAAGACCCUGCAUGACCAGCUG